RNAcentral lists this small RNA (116 nucleotides) under Arabidopsis thaliana (thale cress). RNAcentral's name for it is "ATSL289880". The record is from RNAcentral. Lineage: Eukaryota; Viridiplantae; Streptophyta; Magnoliopsida; Brassicales; Brassicaceae.
UAUUCAGAAUACUUUAUAAUGUUUGAAACUACAACCCGCCUGUUUCUGCUAUCUCCAGCAGUAGCAUAUGUAUCCGAUGUGUUUGAAUCAAUGAGAUCCUAAUUCACCAAAAUAUU